UGCCUAUAAAUGGAUGUCAAGCAAAUGUUCAAACCUUAUAGGAAAAAAAAAGUGUCUCAAAACCCACAAUCUCAUGCUUUGUGUCUUUCAUCAAUGAAUCUAAUAUCAUAACAAAAGGCCAUCCACUCCACAUUUACAACAUAACACAUAAUAUUUACCAUUAUAACAAACCAGACACAUGACACAUGAAUUUGCCAUGCAAAAGGAAUGUAAUUUUUAUCGUAACACAUAAAUGUUACCAGUCAAUGGAGAAAUUCUAACACAAAUGUUAUCGUAAUAAUAUUGCAAAUUACUAUACUGACAAAUAUUUGCAUCCCAGAUGUGCAUGUCGGUUCUCAAUGUAGGAAGGCUCAGCGGCAUUCCUUUUUUACGUCGAUGAAAACACUUGCUGUUGACAGGAACAUGUGCUUUGAACACCAGUCAAAGGAAACUCUGGAAACUUGCGCAUUGGCAAUUUAACAGGUCCAUUUGCAAUCUUCAAGCCAUUUCUUUCAAUCUCUCUGGCUCAACAAAGCAAUAAUGAACUAAAUUCGAGCCAUUUGUUCCAAUCUCUCUGGCCCAACAAAGUAAUAAUGAACUAAAUUUAAAAAUCUGAUUAAUUCAAAUAAUGUGGUUGUCCACAUCAAAUACCAUCUUAUGAAAAUGUGGUACAAAAACAUGAUAUAAAUAACAUUACUCUAAUAAAAAUAAGAAUCAACAAAAAAAGGAAAUUAUAUUGAUAGAAAUCAAUAAUAAAAAACGCAAAGGAUUUGAAAUUAAAUCAGAAGAGAAACACCUACCAAGAAUCAAUAAAAAAAUAGCAAAUUACAUUGAUGGAAAUCAAUAAAAAAAACAGUUUGAAAUCAAAUCAGAAAAGCAACACAUACAAGGAAAAUUUGAACAGAAUGUGGCAAAGAUGUUGAACUUCCAAAAACAUUUAUUCAUUCUUGUGUCUCAAAACAAUUCUAAUGUUACCAUAGAAUUAAAUACCAUAUUUAUAUCUAAUAGUUUUUUUUUUUUUUUCGAAAGAUAGGGAUUCAAUAAAUACGAAUAGAAAGAUUAGCAUCCUUAGCAACAGUGUUAAACAGAAAGUCCGGGCCGAUACAAUCCCAGAUAAACUCUUAGCCUUGCUUGAAAACAUAC
RNAcentral lists this long non-coding RNA (1122 nucleotides) under Malus domestica (apple). Its description in RNAcentral is "long non-coding RNA (MDOM_LNC005488)". The record is from RNAcentral. Lineage: Eukaryota; Viridiplantae; Streptophyta; Magnoliopsida; Rosales; Rosaceae.